GGUUAAAUGGCGUUUUAGUCACUCAACUGACCACCAACUUGCAAUUGGGUCAUCCAACUCAAAAAGCUUUCAGACACAUCAUUAUACUCUUAAAAGUUUUCAUUCAGGUCACUGGCCGUUAAACUCCGUUAAAAAUUUGACGGAAAGCUGACUAAGCAGUCGUGACUUGGCUUAAAUAAAUCCACCGUGGCAUGUAGUCAACAGAAUUGGCAUUUUGGUCACUCAACUGAGUACAAACUUGCAAUCGGGUCAUCAAACUAAAAAAAACUUUCAUUUAGGUCACUUAUCGUAAUAUCCGUUAAAAAAUGAAAAAAGAAAGAAUUAAAAGUAAUCAUCUAGCACCUUUUUUUCUCUCCUAAAAAUUUUGAAACAUAUUAACAAAUUUUGAAACUUAUUAACAAACUUAUUUUGAAAUUUUUUUCUCUCCUAAAAAAUUAAAAUGAAAAUAUUAAAGAGUUUUUCCAAAUGGCCUUAUAAGAUAUGUAAAACGAUAAAAGACAAACAAAGAUUAAGUGUUUGUGGGUGAAACUGCUGAUUUUGUGUGUGUGUGUGUGUGUGUGUUUGUUUCAUUUGUUAAUAAGUUUCGAAAUUAUUAAGAAAGAAAAGAAGGUGCUGCAUGAUAGUUUUUAAUUAUUUCUUUUUUCAUUUUUAACGGAUAUUACGAUAAGUGACCUAAAUGAAAGUUUUUUUGAGUUUGAUGACCCGAUUGCAAGUUUGUACUCAGUUGAGUGACCAAAAUGCCAAUUCUGCUGACUGUACAUGCCACGGUGGAUUUAUUUAAGCCAAGUCACGACUGCUUAGUCAGCUUUCCGUCAAAUUUUUAACGGAGUUUAACGGCCAGUGACCUGAAUGAAAACUUUUAAGAGUAU
RNAcentral lists this long non-coding RNA (869 nucleotides) under Daucus carota (carrot). RNAcentral's name for it is "long non-coding RNA (DCAR_LNC007098)". The record is from RNAcentral. Lineage: Eukaryota; Viridiplantae; Streptophyta; Magnoliopsida; Apiales; Apiaceae.